This 253-nucleotide ribosomal RNA is filed under the name uncultured bacterium. RNAcentral describes it as "partial 16S ribosomal RNA". It matches the Rfam family "Bacterial small subunit ribosomal RNA", at positions 524 to 776 of the family's 1533-position model. The record is from RNAcentral.
GACGAACCGUGCGAACGUUGUUCGGAAUCACUGGGCUUAAAGGGCGCGUAGGCGGGUUACCAAGUCUGUGGUGAAAUCCUCCAGCUUAACUGGAGAACUGCCGUGGAUACUGGUGAUCUUGAGGGAGGUAGGGGUAUGCGGAACUGUGCGUGGAGCGGUGAAAUGCGUUGAUAUGCACAGGAACUCCGGUGGCGAAGGCGGCAUACUGGACCUCUUCUGACGCUGAGGCGCGAAAGCUAGGGUAGCGAACGGG